Molecule: unclassified non-coding RNA, 153 nt
Filed under: uncultured Xylariales
Lineage: Eukaryota; Fungi; Ascomycota; Sordariomycetes; Xylariales
Description: sequence contains ITS1
Source: RNAcentral
CAGAGUUGCAAAACUCCCAAACCCACUGUGAAUUUACCUGUCCUUGUUCCUUCGGUAGGCGGCCCCCGGGGGGGCUUCGCCGCAAGGCGCCUGCCGAGGGACAACCAAAACUCUUGUAUCUAAGUGUUCUCUGAGCAACUAUAAAAAAGUUAA